CACCUAAAAACACAAUUUAGGGAAAAAAAAAGUGUAAAAAAUGGGGCAAGAAACUUUGAUGGCAUAGUCAAAAUUGUUUUACAGGAUUUUGCUAUUAUGUGCAAAAAUAAUGUCACCUAAAUAGGAUCUUCGAGCUAUAAAACAAUCAAAUACACAGACAGUGUAGAUUAUUCGUAAUCCUAAUUUCCUAUAGUGUUGCUUCAAAUUAAAUCGUCCCCUUCUAAGUCUUCAUCUUAUUUCCAAACCCUACUCUAUCACCUUCCAGCUUGCCCAUCACACCAUAUAAGCAGUCAUCUUGCAAUUAUAACAAUUACUAUGUCCUAAGAGUUCAUAUAAUAUUGUUAAACCCUUUUAUUUAUUUUAAGCUCUGGGGAUCAGAGGUUUUUCCUUGUCGAAACCAGGUUGAUUGGUCUUUCCUUUGAAUCUUCUCAUCUGUAUAAGCAACUAGGAUCUAUGUUUGAAUCUACAUAGGUAUUUGUGUGUGUCUGGUUCUAUGAAUCUUCUCAUUCUGUUAAUUAAAUUACACAAAGCGAGACUAGUGUUUGGAUUUAAAUCACCAUUAUAUAUGGAUUUGCGUGUGUUUGGAUGAUUGGAUCCAUGUGAUAAACCCAUUGAAUAUAAUUAAACUAUGCAUGUAAGGAAGCAUAUCAAUGAAUAAUACAGAAUGAAGAACAAAGAAGAAUGCAUAGAGAAUAUCCACGUAUCAACAGUUUGUAAUGAUAUGUGAUCAAAUAUGUUUGAUCAAAUGUCAAACAUUCUCCAUUAUUGCUAUCUUCAUGUUAGAGGGUUUCUAUAAUUCUAGCUAUUUCCAAAAGUUGUACUGCCGGUUCAGCUUUCUCCACAUAUGUCAAAUGUUACAUCACAUAGAAUGGCUCACAUCCAAAGAACCAAGUUAAGCAAAGUUUCACAAAAGAUAUGCCAAACUGACCCAUGCAAAAAUCAAGUAGUCUUCUCUCAGAUAACUUAACUCAAUGCAAAAAAUCAUGUUUCAAUCAUAAGUUACAUUAAUCAUUCGGCAGCAUUCCAACCAUUUCACUAAAUAACUCAUCCAAAUGUUCUUUCCAAUAAAUAAACAAAGCAUCACACAAAUAUCCAACCCACUUAAAUUCGAGUUUAAGAAUAAAACCUUCAUCCAAAGUCACUUGAAUAACAGCAAGAAUGACUUACAAGGCAGUGAUCUCCUCAGAGAGAAGCUCAUUAUCAUCAACAGUACUAGAAGAAUGAUCUUUGCUCUGUGCUCUUCCUUUACUCCUCCUCCCACUCCCUCCUCCUUUCUUCUUCUUCCCCAUUAAAAAAUGAAUUGAAGCGGCAACAGCUCCUCCUCUGGCUCUUUCUCGAAUGCACUCGUUAAACCCAAUUCACAAAUAAAUGCAGAAACAGAUGAAACUUGACAAACCCAAGAACCCCUUCUGUUAUUUCCCUCCAAAAAUGAAACAGCUUACUCAACGCCGAUGAUUCACUUUCACAUCUCAAUGACGCUGUAGAAAUUUCAAGGAUCUUGAAACUUGAUAGCAAAAAAGCGAGAGCGUUAUGUCAAUAUUGAUUGGAUUGAUAGUGGAAAACUGGAAAUAAUAAAUGAGAAGAAUAUUUAAAGUUCGCGUUUAAAAUUUCGCUUGGAAAAAAAGAACUUGUCAAGUUGAAGCUGGUGGCGCACUGUCAAAUUGGAAAAUAAAAUUAUUAAUAUUACGUCAAAAAUUAUUUUAAUUUUAAUUUUUGUACGAUAGAAUGAAUAAAUAAAGUAAUAAACCAUGUAUAAAAAUAAAAUAAAUUUACUACAAAAAUUUUGUUCCUCUUUAAAUAAUAUUAUGCUUACUUAAUUUGAACAUUUAGGUAAAUUAUGCUUAUAACACCAAUCAUUUAAUACUAUCAGUAUGAUAUUAAUUAAUUUUAUUAUUAAUUUUGUUGAUUUACUUGGGACUCAAGCUUCAGCUCAUAGACUCCUUUCUUUAUUAUUUUCAUUUUUGUUUUAAUUAUGACAUACAACUUUGUAUGAGUGUCCAAAUUUAAUAGAAAUAUAUAUAUAUGCUGUUGCUCUACUUUAUUCUAUGAAAAAAAUAGAAUUUCAUUGGAUUGAAUUAUUUAAUAUGUAUUGUGUACUACAUGAUACAACUUGAUUCAUUGACAUAGCUUAUAAGAAAAUUCAAACAUCCUAAUAUUAAUUAUUAGUUAUUUAAAAUUAUUUUUCAAGAUAGAAAAAGUUAGUAAUUAAAGAUUGUAUCUCACUUUUAUGUAUGACAUGUCGGUUAUUAAUUUAUCACAUAGAUACAUGUCGUCAUAGAAUAUGGAAUUUUUAUGACAAUUCGUUUAUAUAAUCAGAAUUGAUAUGAAAUAUCGGAGGUAAAAGUCCAUGACUGAUCGUUUUUAUGUUCAUCUUGUAAAUGAAUUAUCAUACACUUUAUGAAGUCUGUACGGCGUUACAUUCAUGAGUAUUGCUUAUUUAAUGGUUGAAAGUACCCUCAUUCCCAACUCUCGUCGGACGGCAAAAGCAAAAUCCCUAACCGCUCCCAGUCUCCCGCGCCAUCGCACCUCGUUGUUCUCACGCCACAGCGGCCGCUGCUCGCACCCUGGCACCUUUUGCUGGUAUCAAGCUCAUAUAUAUGUGUAUAUAUAUAUCGAAUAAUUUUGGUAUUUUUAAUGGUGAUUACUGAUUUUGUGUUUAUUAAGGAAAAUGUUAUUCAAAGCUACUGAAUUUGAUGUUUAAUAGAGAUUAUUAUGCUGAAAAAUCGUAAGACAUAUUACGAAAUAAUUUCUGAUUAAUUGCUGUUCAGAGUUUAGUAUGUGGGCAGAAUUUUUAACCUUGAACUUAUUGUCUACUGAUUUUCAUACAAAAAAAUAAAUAAAUAAAUAAAAAUUAUGAUUCUGAAAAUGAGAUUACACGAAAAGGGUAAUGAAAACUUGUUCAUUUGUGACUGAUUGAUUCUGUUAUUGUUAGUUGAUUGUAGUUGACAAUUGGAGUUCCUUGUACUGGAGUAAACGUGAAACAACCAAUUUAGAUAAAAAUCUCUAUUAGCUAGUGGCAUUGCCACUUCUUUGCUAAAUCUGCUGGUGUUAGUAUCUAUACAUACCACUGUAGGUUCAUGUUUGGUUUCAAUAUGGGUCUAUGUUUUAGUUGUUGAUUGGUGGUGGGGAAACAUAGUAAAACCAAUGCCAGAAUGUUUGGCAUCAUUCAAAGGAGCCUAUGCUUCUAACUCAAUACAACAUUGCAAAUUUUGAAGGUUUUGUAUUUGAACACUUGCUAAACCAUUUAGUUUUCUGUAUACUGUAUUGUGAGUUAUUGUUUGGGACUUUGAUGUGGUGGAUGGAUAUCUUUGGUUUCUACUGAUGGAUGUAUUCAACUUUCUCCGCGGGUUGAAAUUUUAAAAACUAGUGACUUAGGAGGCUCUUGUUUUUGGGUUUUUUUUUUUUUCAGAUUUGUAUUCUUCUCCUUCAUGGGGUCUACAACUGAGGCGGAGUAUGCUGCAUUUCUUGAGAAGGUGAAGCGGACAGUUUAUCUCGACAACCUCUCGCCUCAAGUUACAGAACCUGUCAUUAGAACCGCACUCGAUCAGUUUGGGAAUGUCAAAAACGUUCAAUUUAUCCCAAACUACACGGAGUUCAGGAAUAUCCCGCACUGUGCUUUGGUGGAGAUGGAGAACUCAAAGCAAGCCAAGGAUGUGGUCACGUCUUUGCACGAGUUUCCAUUCAUGAUGUCAGGAAUGCCAAGGCCUGUGAGGGCACGGGCUGCUGAAGUGGAGAUGUUUGAUGAUCGCCCAGCAAAACCUGGUCAAAGAAUACAAUUCCGAUGGUUGGAUCCCAAUGAUCCUGAUUUUGAGGUAGCACAAAGGUUGAAGCGCCUUGCUCGGAAACAUGCUGCUGAAGCUUCGUUUGUGCUCAAGGUAAGUCUCGUGUUCUUACAAUAACUACUGCAAUCGCUUUUAGUUAUUCAUCGUGCAUUUUUCUUUAUCGAACCUGUCUCCGAAAUUCUGGACCUGCCUUUUUCUCAUCUAAGUGGCAAUAUCCAUUUCGUGUAGGAACAACUGGAGCAGGAAGAGCAGCUCGCAAAUCAGCAAGAAGAAACCCUUAAACAAAAUUACAGGAAGUAUGAGACACUAGAGGGCAUUAUGUCUGAUGGAACUGCAUAUCGUUUGGGACGCCGCUAUGAUGUGAGAAUCCAUGAUGAUUGAUAAUUUGUGUGAAUCAUUUGGUUGGGCUUCUAAUGAACAUCUCUGUAAACUUCAAUGGACUUCAAUGCUGGAUAUACAAAUGACUCUAAUGUUUUGCCAAAAAGAAAAAUGAAAAAAAAAAUUUUGAUAUCCAUUUGUGGAUAAGUUAUACUCAAAUAUGAACGAUGAACCUAUUUGUUUAUUCCAUAUUAACGUUCAAUUUCAUAUGCCUUAUAUAAACAUUAAGUAUUAGCGUAUAUCACCAAUGGGCCUUUGGUCCAAUGGGAGAAGCCUUGCACUUACAUUGUUGAGUGCAAGGGUUCGAGCCUCCAUAAGAGCAUUAUGGAGGUUAGUUACAGUUUUUCCUCAAUUAUCAAUUAAUUGAGUGGAGACAGUUUUUCCCUCACGAAAUGUGAGUGAAGUAGGCACCCCUCGAAUAUUAAAAAGGGUUUAAAAUAUCUGGGCAUAUACUUCAGUGUGUCAAUGUAUGGUGGUGGUCCCAGUUAUAUAAUAUGAUUGUAAAUAUUAAUAGGCACCCCUCGAAUAUUAGAAAGGAUUUAAAAUAUCUAGACAUAUACUUCAGUGUGUCAAUGUAUGGUGGUGGUCCCAAUUAUAUAAUAUGAUUGUAAAUAUUAAUUGUAAUGUCUGAUGUAAUGUCAGUAAUAUCUCUGCAUAACAGACUUCAAAAAAAAAAAAAAGUAUUAGCGUAUAUCUUAAAAUUCAUACUAAGAGGUUCAUCAUCACAAAUAAUGUCACAUAUCAUGUACCAUGUGUAUUGAAAAUGAUAAUAAUAUAAUAAGUUAUUUUAAAAAUUGUGAAAAAUCAUUGAUCACUUGAUGAGCAUACCAUCUUAUUUGAGAAGAACAUCUUAGUAUAUCUAACAUUUUGAUAAAAGUUUUUCGUUGUUGAUUAUAUGCCUAAAAUUAUUUCCAAAAUAAAAUAUUAAAAAUCAUAAUGAACCAUUAACAUUUUUCAAUCAUAUUUAUUGCAUCGACACUUUGUUUUUUAAUUUUCAAUGCUCCCAUCUUCCACCCCCGAAAAUAAUUACAAAAAAAAUAACAAAAUAACAACUUACAAAUAUUUUAAAGAAGCCCGGCUUGUUAGUGUGACGGUAUCCUUAUAACAUACCAUAUUUGUUUUGAGAUAAAUGUCUUUUACUCCCAGAAGAUUAAAUCGGUUAAUUAUACAAUUAGUUACAGUGUUCUUUAAAAAUUACCUAAAAUUACAUGUCGUUUAUCUCCACAUUUGAUAGUUUACAUAUUGAAGUCUUAAAAUUUAAUUAUGCUUUAUUUUUCAUUUAUUACAUGUCAAAUUUAUUUGAAUUAUAGAUCAUGUCAAACAAAAUUUUUAUCCAAUCCUUGGAAAGUUCAAUCAAUGUCUUAACAACUACAAAAGUAAUGAGCUCUAUGUGAGUUCAAAUCUUAAAGGAAGUAUGAACGUUAAAAAUUAUUUGGAUUUAAUCCACACUUUAACGUUUAAUAUAAAAAUAAUUUGGAUAAUUUUUAAAAAUAUAAAAAUUAACUACAGCAAGACCUCGAUGAGUUAAUAGCUCUGGAACAAUAUACAUAAGUUGAACGAAUACUAAGUAAUCGAAUAAUAAUUUAACACGUUUGGCCUCAAUUUAAGAUUGAAAGAACAUUACAUACAGUUGAGAUUUAAAUUUAUCGAGUAUCAAUUUAGUAAUAUUUUACUGGAAAAUCAUUCACCUAUUAUUUUCUUAUUUCGUUCCUUCAUAUAUUCAAUAGUGGACAAAGAAAGAUAGAGAGAGAGAGAGAGGGGGGAUCUUGCCUCACCCACAUCGAGCCAAUCAAAAUGCUUGCUUGUAUUUCUCUUGAUGAGCCUACUCGAUUCCCCUCCUGACCCCCAUCCACAAAUACACGCACUCAUUAACCCAGACACUGACAUUACACAACGAAUAACACAUAUCCCCACUCUCUUUCGCCUUCAAGUACUUCAUUUCUUCCAAAAAUUUAAAAAAGAAAAAAACAAAGAAGUAAUAACGAUAACAAACAAUAAUGGCCACAAACUCUCUCCAAUCCCUCCACCACCAUUCCUUCCUCCGGCGCCACCACCCCGACGCCGCUCCGGCAGCCGCUCUCAAGCCCACCAACCCAAAUUCCCUUUCUUUCUCACUGUCUAAUAACAACAAUACUACUACUACUACAACAACUAGUGCAAAUACUAUGAUCACAUUCUCAUCACUUUCCCCAUCUACCACUUCUUCUUCUUCGUCUUCAUCACAAACACCUACUACUACUACUACUACUACUACUACUACAACAACAACAACUUCAGAGCCCAUCUCCUUUGACCUUCUUCACCAACACUUACAAGCCCAAAACUUCCGGCAAGCCGAUGAAGAAACCCGCCGCCUGCUCAUUGCCCUCGCCGGGGAAGCGGCGGAGAAACGCGGGUACGUCUUCUUCUCUGAAGUUCAGUUCAUUGCAGAGGCCGACUUGAAAGCCAUCGACGAGCUCUGGAGACAGUACAGUGACAACAAGUUUGGGUACAGCGUUCAGAAGAAGAUUUGGGAGAAAGUUAAUAAAGAUUUUACAAAAUUUUUCAUCAGAGUUGGGUGGAUGAAGAAGCUGGAUACUGAAAUGGAGCAGUACAAUUACAGGGCUUUUCCUACUGAGUUUAUUUGGGAGAACGGGAAGGAAACUCCCGUGGGGCAUUUGCCAUUAACCAAUGCUUUGAGAGGGACGCAGUUGCUUGCUAGUAUCUUGAAUCAUCCAGCUUUUGAAGGCAUGCAAGAUGAUGAUGAUGAUAAUAAUAAGCAAGAAGAAGAAGUAAGUAAAUUUGGUGGUGGUGAUGAUAAUGGAGUUCUGAAGACAAAGCCAUUGAGCAAGAGUGUGUUGAAGACAGAUUACAGCUUUUAGAGUUUGUGAAUUCUACCUUUUUUAGCACAUACCCACAAGACAUGGUUAAAAAAUGGGAAUUGGGUUUUCUUUUAAUUUUUUAAAUUAUUUUGUAAUUGUAGUGGGAAGUAAUUAUGAGAGUGAUCAAUUGAAUAUUGAUGGUUUUUAAUCUUUCUUGUAUCUACUUUUCUCAACCUUUUAUGUAAUGUUGAGAAUAAACAAAUAUAUCGCAUGUUGUUACUUUUGAGGAUCGGAAUGAAUGGUGACAAAGCAAGACUGGUCUACUUUUUUUUUUUUUUUGGGUUUAAUUGGUCAUUUUUGUGACCCUUGAUAUACAUUCUCCUUUGCGAACAAGAUUCACUCACCUAUUAAUAUGAAACCAAAAAAAAAUCUAAGAUAUAAUUAUUAUGCCCUUUCAUAAUCACAAGAAUUCUAAAGUUAUUAUCAAGAUUUAAGAUUUUCUUCCGUCUGUUUCUGUUGGCAAAUACCUCUCAACUUUGUUGUUAUUUGUCUCUAGUCGGCUAUCUUCGUAAAAUUUUGGGCCGACUGUUGUUUUUUUUUAUUUGAAUAUUAGUAGAAUGCAGCAAGCACUUAUUUAUUUUUUAUUAGUACUUCGAGAGAGCUUAAAACAGCAUUAAUGAUUAAUAUACCAAACAACCCUUUAAUAUUCCAAUGGGUUCGGUGCUCCCCAGGGCAUUACUGAACAACAAUAUCAUAGUUUUAAAACUCUCUUCUUUCAUUUCUCAAAUUCUUCAAUAAGUUUCUUCGGUUACAAGUUAUAUUUUUUAAGUUGCUCAACAAUUAAAAUGAUAAUGCAUUGAGCGGACAUUUUAAUAAAGGGUGAUAAUACAGUCACAAAUUCUUAUACAAACUUAUUUUGUAUAAACUGAUGUAGUAUUAAUACAUUGGUUAAAUGAAUAUAUAAAAUAAUAUAAAUAAAUCGCGUGGACCAAUAGAUAUUUAAUUCAACUAAUAAAUUAAUAUCACAUUAAUUUAUACAAAAUAAACUUUAUUGACUAUCAUAGCAAAAAUACUUAGAAUUUUAUAACGGCGCCACCACUAUAAAUUAACUUGGGGAUAACAAUGUCACGAGUCCGGGGUGGAUACUGGAUCCCCCGCUCCGGGACCCCUACUCCAGAUCCAGAUUAUCUUAACUUCAUUACAUGGGCCGAUCCAUUUUUUUCCCACAUCAGGAUCCAUAAACAGAAAAACAAAUAAAUAAAAAUCGGACUAGACCUGCAACAAGUUCACUGAUUUUUAAUAAGAUUAUAAUAAAUGAGAAAAUAAAAGUAAAUGGAUCCGAGAGGCUUGGUGUUAAGUCUGCAGUAAUCACACAAAAUUUUUAUACAAAUAACAUUGCAAAAACUAUGGCCAAAAAGGUUAAUAUGAAUAGAAAAUCUUAAACUUACAAAUGAUAAAGAAAAUAUGGCAUUAGAUGAUGACACGUUACUAGCAAUAUGUUCGCACUAGAACCACAGGCAAGAAAUCAAGCGUGUCUAAUGCUCUGGUCAAAAAGGUCCAUACACCUUGGACAAUCCUCAUAAAGUUUGAACAAAAGACAUCUCUAAUAUGGACCAGAUCCGGUGCUCAGAUGAAUUUGUGUUGAAUAUUAGAUCAAUAAUCAGUAAUUAUUUAGGACUCAUAUGAAAUAAUUGCUGAUCAUUGAUUCAGUGCCCAGCACGAGCUGAGCACAGGAUCAAUGAUCAACAAUUGUUUGGGACUCACAUAAAAUAAUUGAUGAUCAUUGAUUCAAUGCCUAACACAAACUCAGCUCAACACAAGCUCAGCUGAGCAUCAGAUCCAUUUUCCUCUAAUAUUUACCACACUCUGACACAAAUUGCCGUACCCCAACCGCAAAUGAAACAAACAUGUUAAGAUGACCCAACAUAAUACUAAACUGAGCAGAACUGCAAUGGAAUAAUACCUCGAAGUCUACCAUUUCCACCAGAUUUUUCAAUCGCGACGGCGCAAUGAAAUUGUCAUGGCCUUUUGGGUGCCGAAGUCUCCACAAUAUUAAAUCUACUAUAAGCUGUAGUUGCUGAUUUGCAUUUUUUUUUAAAAAAAAAAAGGGAAGGAAAAAAAGUGAUAUUACAAGAAAAAAAUUCAAAUAACUUUUUAAGAAAGCAUAUUGUCUGUACAAAAGAAUAGAGCUGAAAGAGAGCUGUUAAUUACCAACCUGACUUGACAAACGAGUAAAUGCAGGACGACAGGCAUUAAGCAAGCAGAAAAGUUUUGUUGAUAUUUCAGGUCGUCCUCAAAAGUUUUGGUCAUAAUCUUCAAAGAAACAAAAAAAAUAUAUCAGUUGAACAACUUUGAAAGUAAUACAAUAGCGUUUGGAAGAAACAACAAAUAUCAGCUUAGACUUAUGUAAAGCCCUUGGAUUAGCUUAGACUUAUGCAAAGAAGCAGUGAUACCCUCACCUCCAGGUUGCAUGCAUCAAAUGAUUCAAAACUUCCAGAACUUCAAUUCACAUUACACAUUGAUGCAUUAAAAUUAAAUCACAUACAUGCGCCAAAUGAUUCAGAACUUCAAAACUUCACAACAUUUAAAAGUGCAGCAGAACUUCACAUCACACCACUCGUUAACGCGUUAAAAUUUAAUCACAUGAAGAAAUAAGAAGCUGAUAACAGUAGUUUGCAUUAUCCUUGCAUGCAUCAAAAGAUCCAGACCUUCAAAAACUUCACAAUAUUUAAAAGUGCAGCAGAACUUCACACCACACCACUCAUUACAUCAUUUAAAAUAGCAGCAAAAACUUCACAUCACACUACUUAUUAAUGAAUCAAAAUUAAAUCACAUGAGGAAAUAAGAAUAUGAUAACAGUACUUGUGCAUAAUUCUAGUAAAAAGAGAGGAUUUCUGAUGCUCCAGCAUUACGCUCUGCAUUAUCAUUCAGGACAAGAUCCAUCACAGGCGCUACGAACUCUUUAACCACAUAAUCAAUGCCAGCAAAGGUGCUGGUCACUUAGUUGUAUAGCAUUGAAAUGGGGAAACCAUUGCAGAACAAGCUGAUAUAUGAGUUCUUUAGUGUAAGCUCACAGGGAGAGAAAACUUCAAGUAAGUCAUAGAACUAAGGACAGCUUAAAAUGAUCAAUUCAGUACGGCCAACAACAAACUUCAAAUAGUUGCGGUGGAAGCCAAAGAACAAAAAAGAGAAAAAAGUAUAUUAUUAUGCUCUAGCACAAGUUAUCCAAUUAAGUUUAGGAAAUAACAGGGAAUUAAUUAAUUCUUCAAAUUCGUAACAGGUGUCACGUGUAAAUGUCAAAUUCAUAAAUUCAUGAUAUUUCUCUUUCGAUAAGUAUCAUAUCCAGGAUCAAGAUAUUGGAUCUUGUGUAAUGCAAUUUGUGUUAACACACAUGAUAUGAUUCUAUCACUCUCAUUCCAACAAAUUAAAUGAGGGUCGUGGGCAGGGCAGUGACUUUCUAGGCCUGUUCGUGAUGUAUAGUGCCUGACCUAUUUUUUUGUAUUGCAUUAAGAUAUACUAAGUUGUAUUGUAAUAUUUUGUUUGAUGAAAUAUGUAAUGUAGUAUAUGUAAUAAUAUUUUAUCAGUACCGAUAUUCUCACACCAAUUAACACCACAGUUAGCACAAAACGAUUCAUUUUCUGCCAACUAUAAAAGAUUUAAUUGUAGCUUCAAAACACACACUCAUCUUGCUCAAACGCAGACCACACACACAUGCUCGAUUUACUGAAACGCAAACGCAAACUACACACACACUUAUCUUACUGGACCACAGCACUCUCUCUCGCCGUGGGUCUCUCCACAUUUAGCUUGGUUGUCAGUUGUUUCUCUCUCCAGGAUUGCAUUCUCACGGCACUUCUGGAAUUUGACACCUAGCUGCAGCUUCACUCUCUCGGCUGUCGGAAUUGAUUUGUGGAGGUAAUUUACGCAAACGCAAACCACACACACACUCAUCUCAGUGGACCACAACACUCUCUCUCGCUGUGGGUCUCUCCACAUUUGGCUUGGCUGUCAGUUGUUUCUCUCUCCACCCCGUGGAUUGCAUUCUCACGACACUACUGGAAUUUGACACCUAGCUACAGCUUCACUCUCUCGGUAUGAAUUUAUGUUAAUUUUGCUGUCUUCAGAACUGCCUGUUGUGGUCAAGUACAAGAUUGCGGAGAUAGGGUUAUAUUAGAUUCUACUUGACACCAAGAUAGAAGAAGAUGAAGAUGAGACCAAGCCUCUAGCUUAAGUGUCAUUUGGUACAUAUGCUAUGGCAUUUUGUUGAAUCGAGUUACUCCUACAUUUUAAGUUUGCUUUUAGAAUAUUUCUCAUAAAUUUUCAUGUUGAAAAACCAAUCAUUUGUAGUUCAGUAGAUUGAUAAGAAUUCGUUUCUUGUGCUUGGUUUUUUAUCCUACUGUUGUACAUGUAAUUGAUUCAUUUGUAAUCUUUGUUGCUUUCAAAGGCAGGCUUCAAUUGAGUUGAAACUUUCAAAAAUUUAUAAAAAAUGAACCGCAAAUAAAAGAUAGCAUCAUAUUGGGUGACAAAAUGUUCUCGUGGAUGAUCCUGAUUAAUGUUGUAUAUUUCGCAAUGUAAUUACUUGCUGAUCAAUUUAAUUGAAUUGAUUAACACAUUGGUUUGAGUUUUGAUACUGUUGCUCUGUUUUUGGGUUAAUUGAAGAUCGCAUUUUUGCAGGAACUGGUAAAUUGGACAUGUUAACAAAAAAACCCUCACGUAUUACUGAAAUAAUAAUUGUUAUACUUCAGCCUUUAUGGAUAGUACACAAUGGUUGCAAGCAAAUCAAUUCAUAACUUGUAAAUAAAUAAAUCCCAAAAAAUUGGGCAUUAAUUUCCAUUUUCCAGUUUUAACAAUUUCUAGCAGCAAGUUUUAACAGUAGAUAACUUCCAACAACAACUCAUCCUAAAAUUAGCAACUCAUAACUCACAACACAAUAGCAUUUUGCUAAUUUCCAAUAGCAAGUUCUUACAGCAAUGAUCAACAAAAUUUGACUUCACAAUUGAAUCUUCACACAUUCGGAAUUAUUACAACCAAAUUUGGGCAUUAAUUAAACCAAUUACCUCCACGAAUUGAUUACGACGGGCUACAACUAUCGACGGGGCAGACAGAGAAAGAGAAACCCAACGAGAUGCAUGAGAGAGACCCACGACAAGAGAAAGCCGAAGGAGAGAGCAGCGAGAUGCGCGAGAGGCCGGAUGGGAGAGACCCACGGCGAGAGAGAGAGCCACGGCCGAAGAGAGACCCACGACGAGAGAGAGAAAGAGAGAAAACCGAAGGAGAGAGUAGUGAGAUGCGUGAGACGCCAGAUGUGGAGAGACCCACGGCAAGAGAGAGAGAGAGAGCACCGGCGGACAGUGCACAAAGAGAGAUCUUACGAACAAAGCAAUCCCACGAUCCAUUUUGUGAGGCGAGUGUGUGUGUGAGGCAAGUGAGUUAGUUUUGAAGCCACAGUAUUUUCUUUUAUAGUUAGCACAAAAUGAACCGUUUUGUGCUAACUGUGAUGCUAGGCGUGGUGUAUUUUUCAUUUUUCAUAUUUUGUACCUUUAUUUAUACUACUAUUAAUUUUAAAUUAAAAUUAUUUAGAUUUAUUUAUUCAUAUUCAAAUAUUUAUUAUUAGUUAUAUUAACUAUAAUAUAAUUAAAUAAUACAUUAUUUAGUUAUAUUUUAAGCUCUGGGAUCAGAAGUUUUCCUUGUCGAAACCAGGUUGAUUAGUCUUUCCUUUAAAUCUUCUCAUUUGUAUGCUAAAUACACAAAGCAACUCGGAUCUGUGUUUGAAUCAACGUAGGUAUUUGUGUGUGUCUGGUUCUUUGAAUCUUCUCAUUCUGUUAAUUAAAUUAGCCAAAGCGAGACUAGUGUUUGGAUUUAAAUCACCAUUAUAUAUGGAUUUGCGUGUGUUUGGACGAUUGGAUCCAUGUGAUAAACCCAUUGAAUAUAAUUAAACCAUGCAUGUAAGGAAGCAUAUCAAUGAAAAAUACAGAAUGAAGAACAAAGAAGAAUGCACAGAGCAUAUCCAAGUAUCCACAGCUUGUAAUGAUGUGUGAUCAAAUAUCAAACAUUCUCCAUUAUUGCUAUCUUUAUGUUGAAGGGUUUCUAUAAUUCUAGCUAUUUCCAAAAGUUGUACUGCCGGUUCAGCUUUCUCCACACAUGUCAAAUGUUACAUCAUAUAGAAUGGCUCACAUCCAAAGAAUCAAGUUAAGCAAAGUUUCACAAAAGAUAUGCCAAACUGACCAAUGCAAACAUCAAGUAGCCUUCUCUCAGAUAACUUAACUCAAUGCAAAAAAUCAUGUUUGGAUCAUAAGCUACGUUAAUCAUUCGGCAGCAUUCCAACCCAUUCCACUAAGUAACCCAUCCAAAUUUUCUUUCCAAUAAAUGAACAAAGCAUCACACAAACAUCCAACCCACUUAAAUUCGAGUUAAGAAUAAAACCUUCAUCCAAAGUCAUUAUCAUCAACAGUACUAGAAGAAUGAUCUUUGCUCUGUGCUCUUCCUUUACUCCUCCUCCCACUCCCUCCUCCUUUAAAAAAUGGGAAAUGGGUUUUUUUUUUUUAAUUUUUUUAAAAUAUUUUGUAAUUGUAGUGGGAAGUAAUUAUGAGAGUGAUCAAUUGAGUAUUGAUGAUUUUUAAUCUUUUUUUGUAUCCACUUUCUCAACAUUUUAUGUAAUGUGGAGAAUAAACAAUUAUAUCGCAUGUUAUUACUUUUAACUUUUUAAGGAUUGGAAUGAAUGGUGACAAAGCAACGUUGGUCUACUUUUUUUUUUUAAUUGGUUUUUUGUUAAUAUACAUUCUCCUUUGGGAACAAGAUUCAUUCACCUAUUAAUACGAAACAAAUAAUCUAAGAUAUAAUUAUUAUGCCCUUUGAUAAUUACAAGAAUUCUAACAGUUACCACUAAGAUCUGAGAUUUUCUUCUGUCUGUUUCUGUUGGCAAACACUUUUCAACUUUGCUAUUAUUUGCCCUCUACUCCACUAUCUUCAGUAAAAUAAUCUUGCUAAAUGCAACAAGCACUUAUUUACUUCUUUUUGGUAGUACUUCGAGAAAAUUUAAAACAGCACUAAUGAUUAAUAAUAUACCGACCCCUCGUUCAUUUAACAAUCCCUUAGUAUUUCAAUGGGCUCAAUGCUCAAGGGAACUGCUGAAACAACAAUAUCAGAGCUCUAAAACUUUCUUGUUUCAUUUAUCAAAUUCUUCAAUAAGUUUCUCCAGUUACAAGUUAUAUUUUUCGAGUUCCUCAGCAAUAAAAAUGAUAUUGCACUAAGCGAAAAAUUGAAUAAAACUUUAUAGAGUAUCAUAGCAAAAAUACUUCAAUUUUGCAACGUUGCCAUCACCAUGAAUUAAAUUAGAGAUGACAAUGGGCACGAGUUCGGGGUAGACACUGUGAUCCCACGCUCCGGGAACCCUGCUCCAAAUCCCGAUUGUCUCAACUUCAUCAUAUGGGCCAACGCAUUUUUUUUCCCACGUUAAGAUCCAUUUAAAAAAUAAAUA
This 14438-nucleotide long non-coding RNA is filed under the name Citrus x clementina. Its description in RNAcentral is "Citrus clementina (C. clementina) long non-coding RNA (CCLE_LNC004521)". The record is from RNAcentral. Lineage: Eukaryota; Viridiplantae; Streptophyta; Magnoliopsida; Sapindales; Rutaceae.